Molecule: small nucleolar RNA, 134 nt
Organism: Rana temporaria (common frog)
Lineage: Eukaryota; Metazoa; Chordata; Amphibia; Anura; Ranidae
Product: small nucleolar RNA SNORA27
Exons: 1
Source: RefSeq, a predicted model, not a curated record
CAGAGCCCCUUCACUUUGCCAUUUAGAUCUUUUGUGUCUAUUUUGGUUAUUCAAGGGGGCUAAAUGAAACCUCCUCCUAAAACCCAAGUCAGUUCUUAAUAUGUUUGGCUUGUGUCCUGUCAGAGGAGACAUCA